Molecule: long non-coding RNA, 1288 nt
Filed under: Manacus vitellinus (golden-collared manakin)
Lineage: Eukaryota; Metazoa; Chordata; Aves; Passeriformes; Pipridae
Description: lncRNA (ENSMVIG00005008260.1)
Source: RNAcentral
GGAAGCUGUUCCAAUGGCCUCAGAAGGGCAGAGUGAGGAUGCAGCACAUCCAGCUGAGCCCCCUGCAGCUCCUGUGCAGAGUGAGAGACCAUUCCAGUGGGGAUCCAUACUCGCUGCAGUGAAAGACCAGCUCCCAUCUCUGGACUCCGAGUCCUCCACAUCUGACUGUGAGAGUGAUGAGGAACUUUUCAUCUUCCAGCGGGAGCUGCCCAACUUAAUUCCUGACCUUUCAGAAGAACUGAUGAUGUUUUCCCUGGAAGACUCCAACGUGCAGCAAAUCCAGGAAACAGAAAGACAACCAUGGGAAAUCUGGAAUGGAGACCUGGAAAGUUUUGGCUUUCAGGAAGAAACAGAUGGUACCCAAAUCUUUGCAAAAGAAGAUGUACAAAUGAUUAAAGAUGAGACUUGCAAUCUUGCCAGGCAGACUGAAGAAAUGCCAAACCAAAAGGGAGCUGUUCUUGAAGAGUCUCUUGCAGAUUCCACAGAUCACCUUGAAGAGAAAGAACUGGGCAGGAGACAGGCCAAGGAUACAGCAUUGUCUGUGGAAGGGCUGUACAGUAAAAAAGAGAGAAAAAAGCUGAUAAAGACAAAGAUACUCUCCAAAACCAUUCUGGAGCCAUCCCCAGGCCACCCUGAGCAGGAUGUCAAACCUCCCUCCUGUGGUAUCAACAACAGUCUAGAAAGAAUUGCAAAGGGAGAGACCUCCUCAGAUGAGCAUCUUGGAGAAGUGACCCAUUUGUCACUGCAGAAUAUUGAGAAAUGGGAUCUAGACAAGAAUCUUGAGGAGCUGGAGCAGCAGAGAGAUAACACUCAUGCAGAAGUUGCUUUCUUCUCAGCAGAUUGUGAGACCUUCAGGAGGAACUGUGAGCUCCUGAAAGAGCUGGAAGAGCUGUGUGCCAGGCAGUCCAGGACAGUGUCUCCUCUCUGCAGGUGGCUGCCAGCCAAGCCCUACUCCUUUCAAGAAGAGCAGGACAAUAAGGAUGUUGCCUUGCCAUCAUCCUGUCUAAGUUCUCUGAGAAGGAACAUUAGAUUACAGAGCCUGCCAGAGCCUGCAACUGUGUACUUAGACUUAAGAGAUGAUGAACCACAGAACUCGGUGACAUUCCUUGAGGAAGAACAAAGGUAUAGCCUGGAUUUAUACCACUUUAUUGGUAGUGAGAAAUAAGUAACAAAAAGUGGGAAACUGAAACCUCCUCUCUGCAUUGCAUGGUUGUGAAAUGUAACUUUAAAACUGGUCUUUUCUUCCACACUCUAUCAUCAAAAGAAACCUUGUAGUUAAUAAACAGCU